UACGUAGGGUGCAAGCGUUACUCGGAAUUACUGGGCGUAAAGCGUUCGUAGGCGGUUUGUUAAGUCUGAUGUGAAAGCCCUGGGCUCAACCUGGGAAUGGCAUUGGAUACUGGCGGUCUAGAGUGCGGUAGAGGGGUGUGGAAUUCCCGGUGUAGCAGUGAAAUGCGUAGAUAUCGGGAGGAACAUCUGUGGCGAAGGCGACACCCUGGACCAGCACUGACACUGAGGCACGAAAGCGUGGGGAGCAAACAGG
RNAcentral lists this ribosomal RNA (253 nucleotides) under uncultured bacterium. RNAcentral's name for it is "partial 16S ribosomal RNA". It matches the Rfam family "Bacterial small subunit ribosomal RNA", at positions 524 to 776 of the family's 1533-position model. The record is from RNAcentral.